RNAcentral lists this ribosomal RNA (425 nucleotides) under uncultured cyanobacterium. RNAcentral's name for it is "partial 16S ribosomal RNA". It matches the Rfam family "Bacterial small subunit ribosomal RNA", at positions 356 to 795 of the family's 1533-position model. The record is from RNAcentral. Lineage: Bacteria; Bacillati; Cyanobacteriota.
GGGGAAUUUUCCGCAAUGGGCGAAAGCCUGACGGAGCAAUACCGCGUGAGGGAGGAAGGCUCUUGGGUCGUAAACCUCUUUUCUCAGGGAAGAACACAAUGACGGUACCUGAGGAGUAAGCAUCGNNNNACUCCGUGCCAGCAGCCGCGGUNAUACGNNGGAUGCAAGCGUUAUCCGGAAUGAUUGGGCGUAAAGCNNNCGCAGGUGGCAAUGUAAGUCUGCUGUUAAAGAGUGAGGCUCAACCUCAUGAGAGCAGUGGAAACUACAUAGCUAGAGUACGUUCGGGGCAGAGGGAAUUCCUGGUGUAGCGGUGAAAUGCGUAGAGAUCAGGAAGAGCACCGGUGGCGAAGGCGCUCUGCUAGGCCGUAACUGACACUGAGGGACGAAAGCUAGGGGAGCGAAUGGGAUUAGAUACCCCAGUAGUC